Long non-coding RNA from Monodelphis domestica (gray short-tailed opossum), 1197 nucleotides. RefSeq lists it as uncharacterized. Lineage: Eukaryota; Metazoa; Chordata; Mammalia; Didelphimorphia; Didelphidae. The record is from RefSeq and is a predicted model, not a curated record.
CCUUACUUGGUGAGAUCACAUCCUAAAGUGGUAUGGAGUCUAAGACUCUGGGCUUGAGACAUCACAGUCUGUUGCUAUGGAAAUGAUUAUGAUGCCACAAAUGCAGCAUUGUAACUUUACAGCAGAAAGAAACAGGAGAAGAUGGAGGGCAAGGGAGCAAAUCCUGCCUUCGGCACCAAUAUGUCUCGUAAUUUCCUGAGCAAACCAGCUAAGAGGAAUCACAAAAAAAAUUGAGGAAGAGAAAACUGAGGUCCAGAGAAGUGGCUUUCUGGAAGCCUUCAUUAAUAGCAAGAAAGACCAAAGGCAAGUCAUCCAAUACCAAUUCCAGACAACUCUGCCAUCACACCAUACUGCCUCAGAUGAAAGGCCAAUGAUAGUGGGAAGAAGCCCAGCUGGAAAGAGAAAUCCAGGAAAACCAGGGAGGUUGAGAGAGUAUGAAAAAGGAGACUCUUAAUAGAAUCAGAGAACAUCAGAACUCGAAAGAAUCUUACAAGUCAUCUAAGCUGAACCCUUCGUUUUCCAGAAGAGGAAGAGAAAAUUAAGACCUAGGAAGAAGACAGGAUUUACCCAAUGCUGUGAAAGUAACAAGUAGCAACAUCUAGUUUUUUAACCCAGAACGUUAAUCGGCUAUGCUGAGCACAAAAACUACAUUCAACCCAGAUUUUAUGACAUGAAGCAAACUCCUCCUCCAUGGAUUUCAUUUAACUCUUCCAUCUCUUCAUCUCAGGAAUUUCCCCAUGCCGUACAUGGAGCCCUUGUCUGAAAAAGAGAUCAGAUUGCCCCGGUUUCUAGUUUUUAAAACCCAAUUUAUGACUGUAUUGCUAAAACCCCAACACAAUGCUGACCAAAUGGAGCAUUUUUAUCUCACAUUCUCACAAACUGGAGCCAUGAACAAAGUGCAAACCCAAUUAGUCCAUCAGAUCCAAGUGCCUGGUAUUGAGGCAAAUGCUGAGGGGUGAAAACAUAGAAAUGCUACUGUAAUUAAUUCUCCAAAUAAACUGAUGGUACCUUGCCCAUCACAUAGUAUAUAUACACAUUUAUUCCCAUAUACAAACCCACAUACGUAUAUAACAAAUACGCACAUUGACAUAUAUAAACACAUGUGUGUAUACAUGUAUGUAUAUAUGUGCCUGUACAUGUGUGUAUAUUAAUACAAAACAUCAAAACACUAGCCAGAAUCCACCUGAGAUGCUGGCG